AUUGGUGGUCUGACACCUAAAGAGCAAAAAAAGUUGAUCAGAAAUCUUUUGUUUUGUUUAUUCUUAAUCCUUAGUCAAUUUGAAGUUAAAAACAUCCUUUCUGAGCAUAAUGCGACUCAUAUAACAAAUUUCACAGCUCAAUUUAAACUGACUGUAAUGUAAGCCUUUGAUAGAAAAUACUUGAAAAUCUCAUUUUGGACUAGAGAAACAUAAACUUUCAAUAUCAAGAUCAGCUUUUGUUGAUUUUUCCUUGUUUGUUCUACUGCUUUAAAGACUUUCCACAAUUUUUACAAUAAGUUUAAUAAAAAAUCCAAGGUAUUGAAGAGUCAAGGAAUA
Molecule: long non-coding RNA, 336 nt
Filed under: Mytilus galloprovincialis (Mediterranean mussel)
Lineage: Eukaryota; Metazoa; Mollusca; Bivalvia; Mytilida; Mytilidae
Source: RNAcentral